UCUGUAUCCAAACCUUUGUUGUGCACAGCCUCUGAUUUUUGAGUGGAUGAUAUCAGGUUCUUCCUAGAAGAAAUUAGACAAUAUUCAGAACGUGAUGGUAUUUAAAAAUACAUUCACAAGACAUUAAGAACUACAUAUGUUAAGAUCCUAAACUGGCCUAGAAAAAUAAGAGUUAACACAGGAGACUUUUCUGCUGUAUGAAAACGUACUAUCUAUCUGAAAGAUGAGGUGUUGCAGAUAUUCUCUAACCCACUGAAAAUUCACGCUCAGAAGGAACUAUGCAAAUGACACCAAAUUUCCUUUCUUGUACUGAAUGGAAUUAAGUUAUAUU
Molecule: long non-coding RNA, 331 nt
Filed under: Coturnix japonica (Japanese quail)
Lineage: Eukaryota; Metazoa; Chordata; Aves; Galliformes; Phasianidae
Description: lncRNA (ENSCJPG00005004724.1)
Source: RNAcentral